RNAcentral lists this ribosomal RNA (465 nucleotides) under uncultured bacterium. RNAcentral's name for it is "bacterial SSU rRNA". It matches the Rfam family "Bacterial small subunit ribosomal RNA", at positions 8 to 458 of the family's 1533-position model. The record is from RNAcentral.
AGAGUUUGAUCCUGGCUCAGAACGAACGCUGGCGGCGUGCCUAACACAUGCAAGUCGAACGGAGAUAAGGGGCUUGCUCCUUAUUUUAGUGGCGCACGGGUGAGUAACGCGUGGAUAAUCUACCUUGGAAUCUGGGAUAACAUUUCGAAAGGGGUGCUAAUACCGGAUAAGACCACGAGCUCGUUGGAGUUUGCGGUAAAAGGGGGCCUCUGUAUAUGCUUCUGUUUCAAGAUGAGUCCGCGUACCAUUAGCUAGUUGGCAGGGUAAUGGCCUACCAAGGCGACGAUGGUUAGCUGGUCUGAGAGGAUGAUCAGCCACACUGGAACUGAGACACGGUCCAGACUCCUACGGGAGGCAGCAGUGGGGAAUUUUGCGCAAUGGGGGAAACCCUGACGCAGCAACGCCGCGUGAGUGGUGAAGGCCUUCGGGUCGUAAAGCUCUGUCAGAGGGAAAGAAGUGUAUGGC